CGUUGGUGUCAAAGAGUGGUUCUGGACCAAAUUCGGCUUCCCGACACUCCAGUAGGACGUGGAGGAUGGUCAGCCUCUCCCCGCA
RNAcentral lists this long non-coding RNA (85 nucleotides) under Dermacentor andersoni. Its description in RNAcentral is "uncharacterized LOC126528023". The record is from RNAcentral. Lineage: Eukaryota; Metazoa; Arthropoda; Arachnida; Ixodida; Ixodidae.